CCAUCGGCUCUUAUCAGAGCCACCGACCCAAUAGUUAAAAGAACAC
Anopheles culicifacies is the source of this 46-nucleotide non-coding RNA. The record is from Rfam. NCBI's taxonomy places the organism in Eukaryota, Metazoa, Arthropoda, Insecta, Diptera, Culicidae.